GUCUUGUCAGUGAUGUUUUAAAAACACAAAUGUCUGAACAAAUGACUACCUGUGAUUCCUCCUUUUUCCACUGAGACAAGAC
This 82-nucleotide small nucleolar RNA is filed under the name Amphilophus citrinellus (Midas cichlid). RNAcentral's name for it is "Small nucleolar RNA SNORD72 (ENSACIG00000014420.1)". It matches the Rfam family "Small nucleolar RNA SNORD72". Rfam says of the family: snoRNA HBII-240 belongs to the CD family of snoRNAs. It is the human orthologue of the mouse MBII-240 and is predicted to guide 2'O-ribose methylation of the large 28S rRNA at residue U4590. Lineage: Eukaryota; Metazoa; Chordata; Actinopteri; Cichliformes; Cichlidae. The record is from RNAcentral.